GAUGAACGCUGGCGGCGCGCCUAACACAUGCAAGUCGAACGGAGAACAUUUAGCAAUAGAUGUUCUUAGUGGCGGACGGGUGAGUAACGCGUGAGGAACCUGCCUUUCGGAGGGGAAUAACACAUCGAAAGAUGUGCUAAUACCGCAUAACGUCAUUGGGUGGCAUCAUCCGAUGACCAAAAGAGCAAUCUGCCGAAAGAUGGCCUCGCGUCCGAUUAGAUAGUUGGUGAGGUAACGGCCCACCCAAGUCUGCGAUCGGUAGCCGGACUGAGAGGUUGAACGGCCACAUUGGGACGGAGACACGGCCCAGACUCCUACGGGAGGCAGCAGUGGGGGAUAUUAGUCAAUGGAGGAAACUCUGAACUAGCGACGCCGCGUGAGGGAAGAAGGUCUUCGGAUUGUAAACCUCUGUCUUCGGGGAAGAUAAUGACGGUACCCGAGGAGGAAGCUCCGGCUAACUACGUG
This 465-nucleotide ribosomal RNA is filed under the name uncultured bacterium. RNAcentral's name for it is "bacterial SSU rRNA". It matches the Rfam family "Bacterial small subunit ribosomal RNA", at positions 28 to 507 of the family's 1533-position model. The record is from RNAcentral.